Molecule: ribosomal RNA, 894 nt
Filed under: Pestalotia populi-nigrae
Lineage: Eukaryota; Fungi; Ascomycota; Sordariomycetes; Amphisphaeriales; Amphisphaeriaceae
Description: LSU rRNA
Rfam family: Eukaryotic large subunit ribosomal RNA
Source: RNAcentral
GCAUAUCAAUAAGCGGAGGAAAAGAAACCAACAGGGAUUGCCUUAGUAACGGCGAGUGAAGCGGCAACAGCUCAAAUUUGAAAUCUGGCCCUUGGGUCCGAAUUGUAAUUUGUAGAGGAUGAUUUUGGUGCGGUAUCUUCCGAGUUCCUUGGAACAGGACGCCUUAGAGGGUGAGAGCCCCGUACGGUUGAAUGCCUAGCCUCUGUAAAUCUCCUUCGACGAGUCGAGUAGUUUGGGAAUGCUGCUCUAAAUGGGAGGUAAAUUUCUUCUAAAGCUAAAUAUUGGCCAGAGACCGAUAGCGCACAAGUAGAGUGAUCGAAAGAUGAAAAGCACUUUGAAAAGAGGGUUAAAUAGCACGUGAAAUUGUUGAAAGGGAAGGAUUUGUGACCAGACUUUUUCUGGGCGGAUCAUCCGGGGUUCUCUCCGGUGCACUUCGCCCAGUAAAGGCCAGCAUCGGUUUUCGGCGUGGGAUAAAAGCAGUAGGAAUGUGGCUCUCUACGGGGAGUGUUAUAGCCUAUUGUAUAAUACCGCGCUGGGGACCGAGGUUCGCGCUUCUGCAAGGAUGCUGGCGUAAUGGUUAUCAAUCACCCGUCUUGAAACACGGACCAAGGAGUCGAACAUUUGUGCGAGUGUUUGGGUGUUAAACCCUCACGCGUAAUGAAAGUGAACGGAGGUGAGAGCCCUUACGGGUGCAUCAUCGACCGAUCCUGAAGUUUUCGGAUGGAUUUGAGUAAGAGCAUAACUGUUCGGACCCGAAAGAUGGUGAACUAUGCGUGGAUAGGGUGAAGCCAGAGGAAACUCUGGUGGAGGCUCGCAGCGGUUCUGACGUGCAAAUCGAUCGUCAAAUCUGCGCAUGGGGGCGAAAGACUAAUCGAACCAUCURGUAGCUGGUAC